RNAcentral lists this ribosomal RNA (506 nucleotides) under uncultured bacterium. Its description in RNAcentral is "partial 16S ribosomal RNA". It matches the Rfam family "Bacterial small subunit ribosomal RNA", at positions 30 to 523 of the family's 1533-position model. The record is from RNAcentral.
AUUGAACGCUGGCGGCAGGCCUAACACAUGCAAGUCGAACGGUAGCACAGAGGAGCUUGCUCCUUGGGUGACGAGUGGCGGACGGGUGAGUAAUGUCUGGGAAACUGCCCGAUGGAGGGGGAUAACUACUGGAAACGGUAGCUAAUACCGCAUAACGUCGCAAGACCAAAGAGGGGGACCUUCGGGCCUCUUGCCAUCGGAUGUGCCCAGAUGGGAUUAGCUAGUAGGUGGGGUAACGGCUCACCUAGGCGGCGAUCCCUAGCUGGUCUGAGAGGAUGACCAGCCACACUGGAACUGAGACACGGUCCAGACUCCUACGGGAGGCAGCAGUGGGGAAUAUUGCACAAUGGGCGCAAGCCUGAUGCAGCCAUGCCGCGUGUAUGAAGAAGGCCUUCGGGUUGUAAAGUACUUUCAGCGAGGAGGAAGGCGUUGUGGUUAAUAACCGCAGCGAUUGACGUUACUCGCAGAAGAAGCACCGGCUAACUCCGUGCCAGCCGCCGCAGUAA